This 497-nucleotide ribosomal RNA is filed under the name uncultured bacterium. Its description in RNAcentral is "partial 16S ribosomal RNA". It matches the Rfam family "Bacterial small subunit ribosomal RNA", at positions 28 to 507 of the family's 1533-position model. The record is from RNAcentral.
GAUGAACGCUGGCGGCGUGCCUAAUACAUGCAAGUCGAGCGAACAGAUGAGGAGCUUGCUCCUCUGACGUUAGCGGCGGACGGGUGAGUAACACGUGGAUAACCUACCUAUAAGACUGGGAUAACUUCGGGAAACCGGAGCUAAUACCGGAUAAUAUAUUGAACCGCAUGGUUCAAUAGUGAAAGACGGUUUUGCUGUCACUUAUAGAUGGAUCCGCGCCGCAUUAGCUAGUUGGUAAGGUAACGGCUUACCAAGGCAACGAUGCGUAGCCGACCUGAGAGGGUGAUCGGCCACACUGGAACUGGGACACGGGCCAGACUCCUACGGGAGGCAGCAGGAGGGAAUCUUCCGCAAUGGGCGAAAGCCUGACGGAGCAACGCCGCGUGAGUGAUGAAGGUCUUCGGAUCGUAAAACUCUGUUAUUAGGGAAGAACAAAUGUGUAAGUAACUAUGCACGUCUUGACGGUACCUAAUCAGAAAGCCACGGCUAACUACGUG